Molecule: long non-coding RNA, 778 nt
Filed under: Hordeum vulgare
Lineage: Eukaryota; Viridiplantae; Streptophyta; Magnoliopsida; Poales; Poaceae
Description: long non-coding RNA (HVUL_LNC001896)
Source: RNAcentral
GAGAACAUACUCCACAAGAAGAAACCAAAAAUCUCUUUAGGAAAUCCUAGCCAUUCAUGACUCCUGUUGAUAGAGGAGAAGAUGUCUCGUCUUUCGAUGAGAAGUUAACUACCCUUUUUAAUGGAGUAGACUUUGAUUAUCCGACUACAAACAUGCAAAGAUGUCGCAACUUAGCAAUCGCUCAACCAACUCCAAGAGUUUAUUAACCACACCAGAGCAUGAUCGACCUAACCACGAGGUACUAUCUACACUAAACCUACUAGAGGAUCAUGCAUGCAAACAAAGGACAAGAAUGAACUAAUAUUGCAAUAUCGAUACUGCAAAUUAAGAUUAAAGCUUUAUUAAUGGAACUGGUGUUCUCAGAUGUAUUGGUCUCACCAUAGGACACAAACGAAGUAUGCGGGUUGCAACUAUGACAAACUUUCAUCUAAAUAAAACCCAAGUCUAAGCAAUGACCUAAGGGUUGUAUUUAUAGGAUGAAAGAGAGGCAAUUUCAGUCAACUUUGGCAAGGUGGGACUAAAAUCUAUUGUUGGUCGUUUCCCCUACAAUACAGACUCUAAAACGGCAUGUGGAAAGGUAUUUUCAAAACACAUCGGACUAGCCAAAAAAUAAGGUGGAGUUGCACCUAUAGAAAGCAAGGACCUAAAUUUAUGAGGGGUGCCUUGUAUAUUUAGUCCAAGACCUUAUAUGUUAUCAUGGUGGCUUCACUGGGCUUAACUCCACUCGAAACUACGCUCUUAUUUGUCGCGCGUGCCUUCAUGUCAUGGCUUGAAUGCC